GCAUAUCAAUAAGCGGAGGAAAAGAAACUAACAAGGAUUCCCCUAGUAACGGCGAGUGAAGAGGGAAGAGCUCAAAUUUUAAAUCUGCCUUGUUUCAAGGUCGAGUUGUAAUUUGAAGAAGCGUUUUCUUGGGCUCGCGGCCGGUAGAAGUUCUUUGGAACAGGACAUCAUAGAGGGUGACAAUCCCGUCUGCGACCGGUCGUGCGUUCAUCUACGAUACGCUUUCAAAGAGUCGAGUUGUUUGGGAUUGCAGCUCCAAACGGGUGGUAAACAUCACCUAAGGCUAAAUAUUGGCGAGAGACCGAUAGCGAACAAGUACCGUGAGGGAAAGAUGAAAAGAACUUUGAAAAGAGAGUUAAACAGUACGUGAAAUUGUUGAAAGGGAAACGAUUGAAGUCAGUCGUGCUGGCGCGAAAUCAACCCUCUCGUCGUGAGAUCACAUGCUGUGGUGAGCCUCAAAACCGCCACAGCGUGUGACCUCCAACGAGAGGGAGCACUUUCGUGUCCGCUGGUUAACAUCAAUUUCGAUCGUCAUAAAAAGGCUGGAGGGAUGUGGCUCCUUCGGGAGUGUUAUAACCUUUAGCGGAAUGUGGUGGUCGGGAUUGAGGAUUGCAACGAAUACCUUCGGGGCUGUUCCACCUGGCCUCUCUUUGGUAUCCUGGUGACGACAGCUUGCUGACGUCGUUAGGAUUCGCCUUUGAACAGGCUAGAGUGUGAGCAAAUUCGUUAAGGAUGUUGACGUA
This 743-nucleotide ribosomal RNA is filed under the name uncultured Glomerales. Its description in RNAcentral is "LSU rRNA". It matches the Rfam family "Eukaryotic large subunit ribosomal RNA", at positions 38 to 633 of the family's 3401-position model. Lineage: Eukaryota; Fungi; Glomeromycota; Glomeromycetes; Glomerales; Glomeraceae. The record is from RNAcentral.